AGUUCGAAAACGCCCUAUCUCAGAAAACAUUUCAAGAUCGCCCUACUUCAGAAAUCGGUUGAAGAACGCGCUAUUUGAGAAUUUGAUUG
Molecule: long non-coding RNA, 89 nt
Organism: Rhagoletis zephyria (snowberry fruit fly)
Lineage: Eukaryota; Metazoa; Arthropoda; Insecta; Diptera; Tephritidae
Source: RefSeq, a predicted model, not a curated record